This 465-nucleotide ribosomal RNA is filed under the name uncultured bacterium. RNAcentral describes it as "partial 16S ribosomal RNA". It matches the Rfam family "Bacterial small subunit ribosomal RNA", at positions 28 to 507 of the family's 1533-position model. The record is from RNAcentral.
GACGAACGCUGGCGGCGUGCUUAACACAUGCAAGUCGAACGGAAAGGCCCUGCUUGCAGGGUACUCGAGUGGCGAACGGGUGAGUAACACGUGGGUGAUCUGCCCUUCACUUCGGGAUAAGCCUGGGAAACUGGGUCUAAUACCGGAUAGGAGCCAUCUUUUGUGUGAUGGUUGGAAAGUUUUUUCGGUGUGGGAUGAUCUCGCGGCCUAUUAGCUUGUUGGUGGGGUAAUGGGCUACCAAGGCGGCGACGGGUAGCCGGCCUGGGGGGGUGGACGGCCAAAAUGGGGCUGGGGUAAGGCCCAGACUCCCACGGGAGGCAGGAGGGGGGAAUAUUGCACAAUGGGGGCGAGCCUGAUGCAACGACGCCGGGUGGGGGAUGACGGGCUUCGGGUUGGAAACUCCUUUCGCUAGGGACGAAGCUUUUUGUGACGGUACCUAGAUAAGAAGCACCGGCUAACUACGUG